This 444-nucleotide ribosomal RNA is filed under the name Triticum aestivum (bread wheat). RNAcentral describes it as "partial small subunit ribosomal RNA". The record is from RNAcentral. Lineage: Eukaryota; Viridiplantae; Streptophyta; Magnoliopsida; Poales; Poaceae.
AUGGAUAGGCAAGGCAUUUCAUCUUCGGUCUACAACAACAAGGACGAGUUCAAUGCCGCGAACAACUCCACUGACACCAAGAUGCAAGCUCAAAUGGAGGAGAUCAAAGCCCUCAUCAAGUCCUACAAGCGGUCUUCCUCAUCUUCGAGAAGACGCUCAAGAGCACAUGCCUCCGAGCUACCAUCUCCGGCAAGGUCACAUCGGCAUCGACACCAUCACCACCACGAAUGUGAAGGUCAAGAGCUCAACACCAACAACCGCUCAAUGACUUCACCAUCACCCUUGGCAUGUUUGCCAAGCGACUUCAAGGCAUCUUCGCCUACGGACAUACGGCAUCUUCGCCCACAAGCACUUCAAGAGAAGCUCCCCAAGCUCAAGUCCGUGACUUCCAUGAGCUACUACGACCUCGACAUCGACCAUGAGAUCCUUUCUAUGGGACUCUAG